Molecule: ribosomal RNA, 253 nt
Filed under: uncultured bacterium
Lineage: Bacteria
Description: partial 16S ribosomal RNA
Rfam family: Bacterial small subunit ribosomal RNA
Source: RNAcentral
UACGAAGGUGGCAAGCGUUGUUCGGAUUUACUGGGCGUAAAGGGAGCGUAGGUGGUGCGGUAAGCCCCCCGGGAAAGCUUCAGGCUUAACCUGAAAAGGUCGGGGGGGACUGCCGCGCUAGAGGACGGGAGAGGAGCGCGGAAUUCCCGGUGUAGCGGUGAAAUGCGUAGAGAUCGGGAGGAAGGCCGGUGGCGAAGGCGGCGCUCUGGAACGUUUCUGACACUGAGGCUCGAAAGCGUGGGGAGCAAACAGG